ACGAACGCUGGCGGCAUGCCUAACACAUGCAAGUCGAGCGAGACCUUCGGGUCUAGUGGCGCACGGGUGCGUAACGCGUGGGAAUCUGCCCUUCGGUUGGGAAUAACACAGAGAAAUUUGUGCUAAUACCUUAUAAUGUCUUCGGACCAAAGAUUUAUCGCCGAGGGAUGAGCCCGCGUAGGAUUAGGUAGUUGGUGGGGUAAUGGCCUACCAAGCCGACGAUCCUUAGCUGGUCUGAGAGGAUGAUCAGCCACACUGGGACUGAGACACGGCCCAGACUCCUACGGGAGGCAGCAGUGGGGAAUAUUGGACAAUGGGCGAAAGCCUGAUCCAGCAAUGCCGCGUGAGUGAUGAAGGCCUUAGGGUUGUAAAGCUCUUUUACCAGGGAUGAUAAUGACAGUACCUGGAGAAUAAGCUCCGGCUAACUCCGU
Molecule: ribosomal RNA, 431 nt
Filed under: uncultured bacterium
Lineage: Bacteria
Description: bacterial SSU rRNA
Rfam family: Bacterial small subunit ribosomal RNA
Source: RNAcentral